GCAAGUCGCACGAGAAAGUUCUCUUCGGAGAGCGAGUAGAGUGGCGCACGGGUGAGUAACACUUAGGUAACUUACCUCCUCGCUGGGGACAACAGGUGGAAACGCCUGCUAAUACCGAAUAAUUUAUAACUUUCUGCGGAUUGUUAUAAUAAAGCCGUAAGGCGCGAGGAGAGAGGCUUAAUUCCCAUUAGCUUGUUGGUAGGGUAAAGGCCUACCAAGGCGACGAUGGGUAGCUGGUCUUAGAGGAUGUCC
RNAcentral lists this ribosomal RNA (252 nucleotides) under uncultured bacterium. RNAcentral describes it as "partial 16S ribosomal RNA". It matches the Rfam family "Bacterial small subunit ribosomal RNA", at positions 57 to 305 of the family's 1533-position model. The record is from RNAcentral.